GGGUUCGUGGUCUAGUUGGUUAUCCAAGGCUUAGCUCAGCUAUCUUUGGACUAAGACGUCGCCCUUACAAGGCGAAGAUCCCCAGUUCGAAUCUGGGCGAACCCA
RNAcentral lists this transfer RNA (105 nucleotides) under Nanohaloarchaea archaeon SW_4_43_9. Its description in RNAcentral is "tRNA-Val". It matches the Rfam family "tRNA". Rfam says of the family: Transfer RNA (tRNA) molecules are approximately 80 nucleotides in length. Their secondary structure includes four short double-helical elements and three loops (D, anti-codon, and T loops). Further hydrogen bonds mediate the characteristic L-shaped molecular structure. tRNAs have two regions of fundamental functional importance: the anti-codon, which is responsible for specific mRNA codon recognition, and the 3' end, to which the tRNAs corresponding amino acid is attached (by aminoacyl-tRNA synthetases). tRNAs cope with the degeneracy of the genetic code in two manners: having more than one tRNA (with a specific anti-codon) for a particular amino acid; and 'wobble' base-pairing, i.e. permitting non-standard base-pairing at the 3rd anti-codon position. The record is from RNAcentral. Lineage: Archaea; Methanobacteriati; Methanobacteriota; Candidatus Nanohaloarchaea.